UGAGGAAUAUUGGUCAAUGGGCGGGAGCCUGAACCAGCCAAGCCGCGUGAGGGAGGAAGGCCCUAUGGGUCGUAAACCUCUUUUGUCAGGGAACAAAAGCGAGUAUGUAUACUAGUCUGAGUGUACCUGAAGAAAAACGCAUCGGCUAACUCCGUGCCAGCAGCCGCGGUAAUACGGAGGAUGCGAGCGUUAUCCGGAUUUAUUGGGUUUAAAGGGUGCGUAGGCGGCGGUGCAAGUCAGCGGUAAAAUGCCCGGGGCUCAACCCCGGCGAGCCGUUGAAACUGCAGUGCUAGAGAAGGCGAGAGGUACGCGGAAUGUGCAGUGUAGCGGUGAAAUGCUUAGAUAUUGCGCAGAACUCCGAUUGCGAAGGCAGCGUACUGGCGCCUGACUGACGCUGAGGCACGAAAGCGUGGGGAUCGAACAGGAUUAGAUACCC
RNAcentral lists this ribosomal RNA (436 nucleotides) under uncultured bacterium. Its description in RNAcentral is "bacterial SSU rRNA". It matches the Rfam family "Bacterial small subunit ribosomal RNA", at positions 355 to 787 of the family's 1533-position model. The record is from RNAcentral.